This is a non-coding RNA of Mycena leptocephala, 93 nucleotides long. NCBI's taxonomy places the organism in Eukaryota, Fungi, Basidiomycota, Agaricomycetes, Agaricales, Mycenaceae. The record is from the annotation of a GenBank genome assembly.
GGCUCGGUAGCAGAGGGUCUGCAUCUGCUUUCCAUUAUUGCUACUUGCCCAGAUAUAAUGCAGAUAAUGCCUGUUCGACUCGGGCCCGAGCCA